UGACAUAUUAGAGCGAUCGCGAGACUUAAAUAUUGGUGUUACUUUCCCGUCUUUCCAGAUCUUGGGGAAGAUAGAAGAUUUUAGUGAUUGAUUAAAUAUAUCAGUUAGGGUUGGGGCGAUAGUUACUGCAGCAUCUUUCAGCAGUCUGGCGCUGAUACCAUCAAGGCCGGUAGAUUUAUUAGUUUUAAGAGUUGAUAGUUGUUUGAAAACAGACGCAACAUCAA
Paramuricea clavata is the source of this 224-nucleotide non-coding RNA. NCBI's taxonomy places the organism in Eukaryota, Metazoa, Cnidaria, Anthozoa, Malacalcyonacea, Plexauridae. The record is from the annotation of a GenBank genome assembly.